UGGAUUGCUGCCUUGGGGAGAAUGAAGUCUUUUAUUUGUUGGCAGGCAUGCCAUGCUCGUGGUCCAUAGCUAUGUACCUUCCCCUGACCUGAAAGGACCACCUUUAAGGGUGAGAAAGUAGUUUAGUUUCUGUGCCUUUUUAAACUUGCCCUUU
Molecule: unclassified non-coding RNA, 154 nt
Organism: Numida meleagris (helmeted guineafowl)
Lineage: Eukaryota; Metazoa; Chordata; Aves; Galliformes; Numididae
Source: Ensembl